RNAcentral lists this transfer RNA (73 nucleotides) under Planctomycetota bacterium. RNAcentral describes it as "Planctomycetes bacterium (marine metagenome) tRNA-His". It matches the Rfam family "tRNA". From Rfam's summary of the family: Transfer RNA (tRNA) molecules are approximately 80 nucleotides in length. Their secondary structure includes four short double-helical elements and three loops (D, anti-codon, and T loops). RNAcentral also lists the same sequence under 1 other name. Lineage: Bacteria; Pseudomonadati; Planctomycetota. The record is from RNAcentral.
GCGAUCGUAGCUCAGUCGGUAGAGCACCGGGUUGUGAUCCUGGAUGUCGCGGGUUCAAGUCCCGUCGGUCGCC